Peromyscus leucopus (white-footed mouse) is the source of this 2032-nucleotide long non-coding RNA. RefSeq lists it as uncharacterized. The record is from RefSeq and is a predicted model, not a curated record. NCBI's taxonomy places the organism in Eukaryota, Metazoa, Chordata, Mammalia, Rodentia, Cricetidae. The transcript has 3 exons.
ACUGUUGAAAGAGGUCGGAGCCUGGCAGCUGUACACUCUGUCGCUGAGCAGUGAGUCAGAGCGGCGAGUACAGCACAGGAUUCUGUGCAGGGCUAGGGGAUGACUCCCCCAGCUCUUUGUAGACCCUGGUGAGUGCUGCAGGGCAUUUCUUGGUGCUAUUACAAUAAUGGGGCAGUGACAGUUUUUAUGUCUGGUGUGACGGUAGUCGGGGCUGCAAGCUCAGACAAUCUCGCUGCUUCAAUUCUCCCUGGGAAGGGGAGGAGCCAGCACUGUUGAAAGACGCUGAAGCCCAGAAAGCCAAGCACCCCAUCGCUAAGCAGGAGACUGUCAAGGGCCCAGCCAGUGGCAAUGCUUUGAGACUAUUCUGAAUCAAACCCUUUACUUCCACCACAAAUCCACCUGGAAAAAUAUGAGGAUGAGUUCUUCAUGGAAAGUCAAUAAGAAAGAGCUGACUUCUGCAUCCAGUCACCUGAACCCACCUGAACAUCCUGAUGCUUCUAAGGACAGCCAGGCAAUGGAGUGCAGAAGAAGCAUCGGGAGAUAGGUCUCUCUGAUCAUCCAGUACUUUCUUCUGCCAACAUUUGGGGAAGACAUGGAGAAAGCCAUGCUUCAGCCCUUACAGGACAAGACUAACUGUAGCCAGCUCCUGGCUGAGCGGAGUGACAUUACAGAGAAGAGGAAAUUCCUGAAGAGGCGGCUUUCAAGGCUGGACCAAGCUCGGCACAAGCUUGCCAUAUUCUCCUAUUAAUCAGGCUUCCCAGCCUGCCCUGAAUGUUAGUGGCAUGGUGUGGACCAAGGGUUGCUUUGAGGGAGAAAUAUCUCAGUGCACAUUCCAUUAGUCUCACCCCUUUACUGUUGUAUAGUCUGAACUUUUUACUUGUUACCAUUUGGAAUUAGCAAAUUAAACAACAACAGCAACAACAACAAUAACAACACAAAACCCCUUUGGUUUUCCAUUUCAAUCAAAUGAAAGCAGCUUCAUGGGGUCAAGACAAUAGAUCUAGUAAUGAGACAAACUUUAAAAUGUGUCUGUGUCUGUCUGUGUGUGUCUGUGUUGUGUAGGUUGAAGAACAACUUUGGGUGUCAGUCCUUAGGUAACUUCUACUUUUUUAGUAGAAUCUCUCCCUGGCCUGGAACUUCUCCACAUAGCCCUCUUAGAUCUAUUCCCCAGAAGAUCUCUUGUCUCUGCAUCCCAUCUCACUGUGACUGAGAUAGCAGAUGUAUAUCACUGUGCCUGGUUUUGAAUGUGGGUUCUGGGUAUUUGAAAUCAGGUCCUCAUGCCUGUAACACUGAUCCAUCUGUCUAGUCCAACAAAAUGACAUUUUAAAAAAGUUAUGGAUUAUACUACCAAAAGUGAGAACUUAAGAGACUUUGAUGCAUCCUUCUAUGCCUCAAUUUUCUUUUCAGCAUGACAGUCAAGCACAAAUGCACAUAGAGAGUUUAAAGAUAAAACUUGAUCUGGAGACCUAUAACAGCUUGUGCAAGACCUUUAAGCAGCAGAGUGGAAGAACAGGCAUUUGAUAAAGCUACCUGAGAAAGCUACCUAAAUUUACAACUAAGGUCUGUCCACAAAGCUUUUCAACAGCACCACCUAGUAACAGACAUGUGAAACCACACUUGCAAAAUGGGAUUCACUAGGGAGUGUGGCUUCCAAAACCAAACCAAAAGGAAAGUGUCUCUCUGGUGAAUAGAAAACAGCAUCCUGGGUGUUUCCAGACUCACUGCUACCUCUCUUCCUAAUGAAGGUUUUGAUUGUAUUUUGAGACACGGUCUCACAAUGUAGUCCAGUUGGUCUUGACUGACAAUCCUCCUGUCACAGCCACUGCACCCUUGGUGAGGACAGAAGUAUACCACCGUACUAGUUCAAAUGGUGUUUGAAUGCUCUGAAAAAAUUUUCAUUUCCUCCUCCUGUGGAUACUGUUAAUAAGAGUGUACAGUCAUGGGAGAGCCUAUACUGUGUGGUGACAUUUUAUUUGUGCUUUAAUAAAGUUUGCCUGGAGAUCAGUGGAAAUAGCAAGCCAUUUAAAGUAAA